This 329-nucleotide unclassified non-coding RNA is filed under the name Melitaea cinxia (Glanville fritillary). RNAcentral describes it as "misc RNA ENSMCXG00005013285.1". Lineage: Eukaryota; Metazoa; Arthropoda; Insecta; Lepidoptera; Nymphalidae. The record is from RNAcentral.
GAAACAUAGAAACCGAAAGCUUCAAUAAAACUGAUGUAACACUAACAGGAAACAUACCAAGGAAUUGUCCUGAGGGUGAUGACAAGAUUGAAAUGGAACAUAAUUUUUCUGAGGCAAGAUGCACAGAUGAUGAAGAAAGCGUUACAAGUAACCAGGAUAAAACAGCUAAAUCAAAACAAAGAAAUAAAACUAACUAGGAAACGCAAACUGGACAAAAAUGAGUGGCGUUGUAAGAAAAAUAAAAAACGAACAACAGCGGCGAGGCCUACGAAGGAACGGUUUUUCGAAAUGGAACACAGCCAGAAUGAGGGAGAUUCUAUGCAUGCAUG